RNAcentral lists this ribosomal RNA (253 nucleotides) under uncultured bacterium. Its description in RNAcentral is "partial 16S ribosomal RNA". It matches the Rfam family "Bacterial small subunit ribosomal RNA", at positions 524 to 776 of the family's 1533-position model. The record is from RNAcentral.
UACGGAGGGUGCAAGCGUUAAUCGGAAUUACUGGGCGUAAAGCGUGCGCAGGCGGUGUGUUAAGUCCGUUGUGAAAGCCCCGAGCUCAACUUGGGAAUUGCAGUGGAUACUGGCAGGCUGGAGUACGGUAGAGGAAGGUGGAAUUCCCGGUGUAGCAGUGAAAUGCGUAGAUAUCGGGAGGAACACCGACGGCGCAGGCAGCGUCCUGGCCGCUUGCUGACACUGAGGCACGAAAGCUGGGGGAGCAAACAGG